UGAGGAAUAUUGGUCAAUGGACGGGAGUCUGAACCAGCCAAGUAGCGUGAAGGAUGAAGGCUCUAUGGGUCGUAAACUUCUUUUAUACGGGAAUAAAGUGAACCACGUGUGGUUUUUUGUAUGUACCGUAUGAAUAAGGAUCGGCUAACUCCGUGCCAGCAGCCGCGGUAAUACGGAGGAUCCGAGCGUUAUCCGGAUUUAUUGGGUUUAAAGGGAGCGUAGGCGGGUACUUAAGUCAGUUGUGAAAGUUUACGGCUCAACCGUGAAAUUGCAGUUGAUACUGGGUGCCUUGAGUGCAGUAGAGGUAAGCGGAAUUCGUGGUGUAGCGGUGAAAUGCUUAGAUAUCACGAAGAACUCCAAUUGCGAAGGCAGCUUGCUGGACUGUAACUGACGCUGAUGCUCGAAAGUGUGGGUAUCAAACAGGAUUAGAUACCCUGGUAGUCCACACAGUAAACUAUGAAUACUCGCUGUUGGCGAUACACAGUCAGCGGCCAAGCGAAAGCGUUAAGUAUUCCACCUGGGGAGUACGCCGGCAACGGUGAAACUUAAAGGAAUUGACGGAGUGUCGAUA
RNAcentral lists this ribosomal RNA (571 nucleotides) under uncultured Bacteroides sp. RNAcentral's name for it is "bacterial SSU rRNA". It matches the Rfam family "Bacterial small subunit ribosomal RNA", at positions 355 to 927 of the family's 1533-position model. The record is from RNAcentral. Lineage: Bacteria; Pseudomonadati; Bacteroidota; Bacteroidia; Bacteroidales; Bacteroidaceae.